AGCAGCCGCGGUAAUUCCAGCUCCAAUAGCGUAUAUUAAAGUUGCUGCAGUUAAAAAGCUCGUAGUUGAAUUUCGGGACCAUCAUGUCGGUCGUGCCUCGGUACGUACUGGCAUCGUUGGUUUCUCCCUUCUGACGAACCAUGAUGUCAUUAAUUUGGUGUCAUGGGGAAUCAGGACUGUUACUUUGAAAAAAUUAGAGUGUCUAAAGCAGGCUCACGCUUGAAUACAUUAGCAUGGAAUAAUGAAAUAGGACGUUUGAUUCUAUUUUGUUGGUUUCUAGGAUCGACGUAAUGAUUAAUAGGGAUAGUUGGGGGCAUUAGUAUUCAAUUGUCAGAGGUGAAAUUCUUGGAUUUAUUGAAGACUAACUACUGCGAAAGCAUUUGCCAAGGAUGUUUUCAUUAAUCAAGAACGAAAGUUAGGGGAUCGAAGACGAUCAGAUACCGUCGUAGUCUUAACCAUAAACUAUGCCGACUAGGGAUCGGAUGAUGUUAAUUUUUUAAUGACUCAUUCGGCGCCUUACG
Molecule: ribosomal RNA, 521 nt
Filed under: uncultured Glomus
Lineage: Eukaryota; Fungi; Glomeromycota; Glomeromycetes; Glomerales; Glomeraceae
Description: SSU rRNA
Rfam family: Eukaryotic small subunit ribosomal RNA
Source: RNAcentral